RNAcentral lists this ribosomal RNA (1369 nucleotides) under Patescibacteria group bacterium. RNAcentral describes it as "partial 23S ribosomal RNA". It matches the Rfam family "Bacterial large subunit ribosomal RNA", at positions 2453 to 2925 of the family's 2925-position model. The record is from RNAcentral.
CGGAUAAAAGCUACCCCGGGGAUAACAGGCUGAUCGCGCCCAAGCGUCCACAGCGACGGCGCGGUUUGGCACCUCGAUAAUCCCAAGAAAGUCGAGGGAAUAAAGUGACUCAUAACGGUGAAGCCCGACUGGACAUUUGGUAUUUGUUCGGUUAGAAUAUACCUAUGUACAAGGGUGAUACCGUGGGAAGUCUCGAAGCUGUUCAUUGGCACAAGAAAUGGAGAGAUAUUAAGCCUUCUUUGUCUCUAACUAAGACACAGGAAUCGCUGAUUAUAGGCUCUCUGCUUGGCGAUGGAACUAUGCGUAUUGGCAAAGGAAGUGUCAAUGCUAACUUUAAAGUUGAACAAGGCCUUAUACAAAAAGCCUAUGUUUACUGGAAGUACGAGCAUCUGCAAAACUUUGUCUACACUGAACCAAAAAUCAGUUAUCGGUACACCAUUGAUGGCGAAAAGUACCCCAAAUCCUGGUGGUUCCGAACCAUUCGACAUCCUCAAAUUACUGAUAUUUACCACAAGUUUUAUCAGGGUGAAGAAUAUCGAUGCGGAAGGAAAUAUAUGCCAGAUGAUAUUGGUAAGUAUCUUGAUCCGUUGGUAAUGGCUGUCUGGAUAAUGGAUGAUGGUUCAUAUCAGAACGGGAGAAUUGAUAUUAGCUCUUACUGCUUUCUUCUUGAAGAAGUGGAAAAGCUCAUUCAAAUUAUUGCGGAGAAAUUUGCGAUUACUAUGCAAUAUUAUCGUGACCGAGAUAAGGGAUACAGGAUGUAUACCCGGACGCAGGAAACGAAAAAGCUAGUUGCGCUGAUUAAUCCAUAUAUAAUCCCCUCUAUGAUGUAUAAAGUGGGCUUCGUGACCCCGUAACGACUGGAUUCUUGUAAACACAAGAAGAAGAUUUCGCUAUGUCAGUGUUGAUUCGGGCGAAAUAACACGUCACUGCCUAAAUGACGCAGUUUAGGUAAAGGUAUAGUCUGUACCAUUAGUAAUAAUGGAGUAUACGGUCGGCUCGUCCUAUCCUGGGGCUGGAGAAGGUCCCAAGGGUUUGGCUGUUCGCCAAUUAAAAGGGUACGCGAGCUGGGUUCAGAACGUCGCGAGACAGUUCGGUCCUAAUCUUCUGUGGGCGUGGAAACUUGCGAAGGACUCCCUCUAGUACGAGAGGACCGAGGGGGACCAACCUCUGGUGUGCCUGUUGUCGUACCAACGGCAGUGCAGGGUAGCUAUGUUGGGUUUUGGAUAAGCGCUGAAAGCAUAUAAGCGCGAAGCCGGCUUCAAGAUUAGGUUUCUAGAUCGGUUGUAGAUAACGACCUUGAUAGGCACUAGGUGUAAGACGGGUAACCGUUUCAGCCGUGGUGUACUAAUUGAUCAUAUACCUUUACUCC